This 479-nucleotide ribosomal RNA is filed under the name uncultured bacterium. Its description in RNAcentral is "SSU rRNA". It matches the Rfam family "Bacterial small subunit ribosomal RNA", at positions 26 to 518 of the family's 1533-position model. The record is from RNAcentral.
AGGACAAACGCUGGCGGGGUGCAUGAGACAUGCAAGUCGAACGAGGCACUGUUGAGCUUGCUCGACGGUGUCCUAGUGGCGGACGGCUGAGUAACGCGUAGGUGACCUACCCGGAAGUGGGGAAUAACUGCCCGAAAGGGUGGCUAAUACCGCAUGUGGUCGACGAUUCGAUUCGUCGUCCAAAGGAGCAAUUCGCUUCCGGAGGGGCCUGCGUCCGAUUAGCUAGUUGGUGGGGUAACGGCUUACCAAGGCGACGAUCGGUAGCUGGUCUGAGAGGAUGAUCAGCCAGACUGGGACUGAGACACGGCCCAGACUCCUACGGGAGGCAGCAGUCGGGAAUUUUGCCCAAUGAGCGAAAGCUUGAGGCAGCAACUCCGCGUGAGGGAUGAAGGCUCUAGGGUCGUAAACCUCUUUUCUCAGGGAAGAUACAAGACAGUACCUGAGGAAUAAGCGACGGCUAACUACGUGCCAGCAGCCGC